This 530-nucleotide long non-coding RNA is filed under the name Sinocyclocheilus anshuiensis. RNAcentral's name for it is "lncRNA (ENSSANG00000020396.1)". Lineage: Eukaryota; Metazoa; Chordata; Actinopteri; Cypriniformes; Cyprinidae. The record is from RNAcentral.
GCCCAGAUGAUAAGUUAAACAUUUGGCGAAUGUAAAUAAAAAUGGGUGGAUGCUCCGCUCCAAACUGCUCGAACUCUACAACUAUUGGAAAGCAGCUAUUUCGCUUUCCGAAAGACCCCGUGCGCAUGAGAAAGUGGCUUGUAAACUGUCGGCGUGAUUUUGUACCGACUCCCUGCUCCAGACUGUGCCAGGACCACUUUGAAGAAAGCCAGUUUGAGGAGAUCGCCAGAUCACCAGCAGGGGGAAGGAAACUCAAACCCAACGCAAUCCCCACACUGUUCAAUGUACCCGACCCUCCCUCUCCUGUCACCCCUCAAGUAGUGUUACCUAUUAAAAAUGAGCCAGUGGAAAAGGACUUAAACAUGGGGGACCAUGGAUAUGCCCGCCGACAGCCACCUGUGGAUUCAGAGGAGGAUGGGGUUCAGAGGACAGACGAGGAGCGACCCUGUUCUCUCUGCCAACAUUAUAAAACCAAACUGGAGCAACAACAGCAACACAAAGUCAGACUACAGAGAGAGGUAACAUUCAUU